AUGGAUACUGAACAGCCGGAGGAAACCUUCCCCAACACUAAAACCAACGGUGAAUUUGGUAAGUGUCCUGCAGAAAAUAUGGAAGAGGAGCAAACAUUUAAAAGAUCUACAAACAGUGAUGAGAUGGUUGAAUUACAAAUUCUGCUUCAGAGCAAGAAUGCUGGGGCAGUGAUUGGGAAAGGAGACAAGAAUACUAAGGGUCUCCGGAGAGACCAUAUUGAGAAUCAUUGCUGAUAUUGGUACAAUUGGAGACAUUCUGAAGAAAACCAUCGCUACCUUGGAAGAGGGCCUGCAGUUGCCAUCAACCACUGCAACCAGCCAGCUCCUGCUUGAAUCUGAUGAUAUGGAAUGCUUAAAUUAUCAGCACUAUAAAGGAAGUGAUUUUGACUUCGAGUUGAGACUGUUGAUUCAUCAGAGUCUGGCAGGAGGAAUUAUUGGGGUCAAAAAUGCUAAAAUCAAAGACUUUGAGAGAACACUCAGACAACAAUCAAGCUUUUCCAAGAAUGCUGCCCUCAUUCCACUGACAGAGUUGUUCUUAUUGGGGGAAAGCCUGAUAGGGUGGUAGAGUACAUAAAGAUUAUCCUUGAUAUUAUAUCUGAGUCUCCCAUCAAAGGGCAUGCACACCCUUAUGAUCCUAGUUUUUAUGAUGAAACAUAUGAUUAUGGUAGUUUUAUGAUAUUUGAUGACCACCGCAGACAUCUAGUGGGAUUUCCCAUGUGGGGAAGAGGUGGUUUCGACAGAAUUCCACCUGGUAGGGGUGGGUAUCCCAUGCCUCCCUCUAGAAGAGAUUAUGUUGAUAUGAGCCCUCAUCGAGGACCACGACUCCUCCUUCUGGUCGAGGUGGCCAAGGUGGGAGCAGAGCUUGAAAUCUUUCUCUUCCUUUACCGCCACCAUCUAGAGGAGAUCUAAUGGCCUAUGACAAAAGAGAAAAACCUAGAGACCAUUAUGGCAUGGUUGGUUUCAGUGCUGAUGAAACUUGGGAGUCUGCAAUAGAUACAUGGAGCCCAUCAGAAUGGCAGAUGGCUUAUGAACCACAGGGUGGCUCUGGAUAUGAUUAUUCCUAUGCAGGGGGUCGUGGCUCAUAUGGUGAUCUUGGUAGACCUAUUAUUGCAACACAAGUAAGUAUUCCCAAAGAUUUGGCUGGAUCUAUUAUUGGCAAAGAUGGUCAGCAGAUUAAGCAAAUCUGUCAUGAAUCCAGAGCCUCAAUCAGAAUUGAAGAGCCUUUAGAAGGAUCUGAAGAUCAGAUCAUUACCUUUACAGGAACACAGGACCAGAUACAGAAUGUACCGUAUUUGCUGCAGAACAGUGUGAAGCAGUACUCUGGAAAGUUUUUCUAA
Molecule: non-coding RNA, 1337 nt
Organism: Marmota flaviventris (yellow-bellied marmot)
Lineage: Eukaryota; Metazoa; Chordata; Mammalia; Rodentia; Sciuridae
Source: RefSeq, a predicted model, not a curated record